This 465-nucleotide ribosomal RNA is filed under the name uncultured bacterium. Its description in RNAcentral is "partial 16S ribosomal RNA". It matches the Rfam family "Bacterial small subunit ribosomal RNA", at positions 28 to 507 of the family's 1533-position model. The record is from RNAcentral.
GAUGAACGCUGGCGGCGUGCUUAACACAUGCAAGUCGAACGGAAAGGCUCCUGCUUGCAGGGGUACUCGAGUGGCGAACGGGUGAGUAACACGUGGGUGAUCUGCCCUGCACUUCGGGAUAAGCCUGGGAAACUGGGUCUAAUACCGGAUAGGACGAUGGUUUGGAUGCCAUUGUGGAAAGUUUUUCGGUGUGGGAUGAGCUCGCGGCCUAUCAGCUUGUUGGUGGGGUAAUGGCCUACCAAGGCGUCGACGGGUAGCCGGCCUGAGAGGGUGUACGGCCACAUUGGGACUGAGAUACGGCCCAGACUCCUACGGGAGGCAGCAGUGGGGAAUAUUGCACAAUGGGCGCAAGCCUGAUGCAGCGACGCCGCAUGGGGGAUGACGGCCUUCGGGUUGUAAACUCCUUUCGCUAGGGACGAAGCGCAAGUGACGGUACCUGGAGAAGAAGCACCGGCUAACUACGUG